GCAGAACGCGAAGAACCUUACCUGGGUUUGACAUUCUGGGAAAAGCCACAGAGAUGUGGUGUCCGAAAGGGUCCAGAACAGGUGGUGCAUGGCUGUCGUCAGCUCGUGUCGUGAGAUGUUGGGUUAAGUCCCGCAACGAGCGCAACCCUUGUCCUAUGUUGCCAGCACGUAAUGGUGGGGACUCGUAGGAGACUGCCGGGGUCAACUCGGAGGAAGGUGGGGACGACGUCAAGUCAUCAUGCCCCUUAUGUCCAGGGCUGCAAACAUGCUACAAUGGCUGGUACAAAGGGCUGCUAUACCGCGAGGUGGAGCGAAUCCCAAAAAGCCAGUCUCAGUUCGGAUUGGAGUCUGCAACUCGACUCCAUGAAGUCGGAGUCGCUAGUAAUCCCGGAUCAGCAACGCCGGGGUGAAUACGUUCCCGGGUCUUGUACACACCG
RNAcentral lists this ribosomal RNA (437 nucleotides) under uncultured bacterium. Its description in RNAcentral is "bacterial SSU rRNA". It matches the Rfam family "Bacterial small subunit ribosomal RNA", at positions 954 to 1392 of the family's 1533-position model. The record is from RNAcentral.